AAAAGAUUUCUAUUUUUUGCGGAUUGAGUUGUACAUCUUAUAGGUCACAUUAAUGGUGGAAAAAGUUUUGAAAUUAUUUCUUGGUCUUGUUUUUUUAGGUCACAAAAACGUGGAAUCCGAACAAGGGUGUACACCUUCCAUGUCCACUGUACAGAUGCCUUGUUCACUUUCCACAUUCAUGGUGAGCUAAACAAAAUGCUCUCCAGCAGCAAGAAUUCUCUCCCACAGUUUGAGAGGGAUAGCAGAGACAUGGUCAAUCGCUACCAACUCCUCUUCAACCAAGACCACUAAUGUGUUCGGAUCCCCUGGGCAAGUGACAUGACAAGUGAUAAUAGGAAUUAAAUGCAGUUAAUUUGCAGACAAAAUAAAUACUAAUACGGAUGAAUGGUUGACUCAGUUGAAGACAAGUUUAUUAUUAAACACUCUCUUAGCAAAACUGUCUGUCAUGAUCAUGUAUGAAAUCU
Molecule: long non-coding RNA, 464 nt
Organism: Phyllopteryx taeniolatus (common seadragon)
Lineage: Eukaryota; Metazoa; Chordata; Actinopteri; Syngnathiformes; Syngnathidae
Exons: 3
Source: RefSeq, a predicted model, not a curated record